RNAcentral lists this transfer RNA (54 nucleotides) under Angiostrongylus vasorum (French heartworm). RNAcentral describes it as "tRNA-Val". The record is from RNAcentral. Lineage: Eukaryota; Metazoa; Nematoda; Chromadorea; Rhabditida; Metastrongylidae.
GAACUUGUAGUUUAUUUAGAAUAAUUCAUUUACAAUGAGUAGGGUGUGGGUUUU